AAAGAGGCCCGAAGCAGCAAGGACUGCUAAUCCUUGCCCCCACGG
RNAcentral lists this transfer RNA (45 nucleotides) under Pseudeutropius brachypopterus. RNAcentral describes it as "partial tRNA-Ser". The record is from RNAcentral. Lineage: Eukaryota; Metazoa; Chordata; Actinopteri; Siluriformes; Schilbidae.